AUCCAGCUGACGAGACGAAACGUGCGUCCUGGAU
Molecule: non-coding RNA, 34 nt
Filed under: Schistosoma haematobium
Lineage: Eukaryota; Metazoa; Platyhelminthes; Trematoda; Strigeidida; Schistosomatidae
Source: RNAcentral